Molecule: ribosomal RNA, 363 nt
Filed under: Nepaletricha sp. DK-2014
Lineage: Eukaryota; Metazoa; Arthropoda; Insecta; Diptera; Rangomaramidae
Description: partial 12S ribosomal RNA
Source: RNAcentral
AAAAAUGUAAUAUUAAAAUUUAAAAUUUUAGAGUAGUAAUUGAUAUAUUCAAAAAACUUAAUAAAUUUGGCGGUAUUUUAUUUUAAUUAGAGGAAUUUGUUUUUUAAUUGAUAAUCCUCAUUGAAUCUUACUUAAUUUUUAUAAUUUGUAUAUCGUCGUCAUUAGAAUGUCUUAAAAGAGGAAAAAUUUUCUAAAAUAAAAAAUAUUAAUAAUGUCAGAUCAAGGUGCAAUUUAUGGUUAAGAAAAAAUGAAUUACAAUAGAAAGUAUUUAUUUAUGGAUAUAAAUUUGAAUAAGUUUAUUGAAGGUGGAUUUAAUAGUAAAUUGAUUAAAUAAAAUUAAUUGAUUUUAAACUUAAAAUGUGC